This 447-nucleotide ribosomal RNA is filed under the name uncultured bacterium. RNAcentral describes it as "bacterial SSU rRNA". It matches the Rfam family "Bacterial small subunit ribosomal RNA", at positions 328 to 792 of the family's 1533-position model. The record is from RNAcentral.
UCACCAGACUCCUACGGGAGGCAGCAGUGGGGAAUAUUGCACAAUGGGGGAAACCCUGAUGCAGCGACGCCGCGUGAGUGAAGAAGUAAUUCGUUAUGUAAAGCUCUAUCAGCAGGGAAGAAAAUGACGGUACCUGAGUAAGAAGCCCCGGCUAACUACGUGCCAGCAGCCGCGGUAAUACGUAGGGGGCAAGCGUUAUCCGGAUUUACUGGGUGUAAAGGGGGCGCAGACGGCAAUGCAAGCCAGGAGUGAAAGCCCGGGGCCCAACCCCGGGACUGCUCUUGGAACUGCAUGGCUGGAGUACAGGAGGGGCAGGCGGAAUUCCUAGUGUAGCGGUGAAAUGCGUAGAUAUUAGGAGGAACACCGGUGGCGAAGGCGGCCUGCUGGACUGUGACUGACGUUGAGGCCCGAAGGCGUGGGGAGCAAACAGGAUUAGAUACCCUUGUA